RNAcentral lists this ribosomal RNA (86 nucleotides) under Paenibacillus odorifer. The record is from RNAcentral. RNAcentral also lists the same sequence under 1 other name. Lineage: Bacteria; Bacillati; Bacillota; Bacilli; Caryophanales; Paenibacillaceae.
UACCCAUCCCGAACACGACCGUUAAGCCCUCCAGCGCCGAUGGUACUUGGACCGAAGGGUCCUGGGAGAGUAGGACGUUGCCAAGC